GGGUUGUGAGGUUAAGCGACUAAGCGUACACGGUGGAUGCCCUGGCAGUCAGAGGCGAUGAAGGGCGUGCUAAUCUGCGAUAAGCGCCGGUAAGGUGAUAUGAACCGUUAUAACCGGCGAUACCCGAAUGGGGAAACCCAGUGUGACUCGUCACACUAUCAUUAACUGAAUCCAUAGGUUAAUGAGGCGAACCGGGGGAACUGAAACAUCUAAGUACCCCGAGGAAAAGAAAUCAACCGAGAUUCCCCCAGUAGCGGCGAGCGAACGGGGAGGAGCCCAGAGCCUGAAUCAGCAUGUGUGUUAGUGGAAGCGUCUGGAAAGGCGCGCGAUACAGGGUGACAGCCCCGUACACAAAAGCGCAUGUGCUGUGAGCUCGAUGAGUAGGGCGGGACACGUGGUAUCCUGUCUGAAUAUGGGGGGACCAUCCUCCAAGGCUAAAUACUCCUGACUGACCGAUAGUGAACCAGUACCGUGAGGGAAAGGCGAAAAGAACCCCGGCGAGGGGAGUGAAAAAGAACCUGAAACCGUGUACGUACAAGCAGUGGGAGCACCCUUUGGGGUGUGACUGCGUACCUUUUGUAUAAUGGGUCAGCGACUUAUAUUCUGUAGCAAGGUUAACCGCAUAGGGGAGCCGGAGGGAAACCGAGUCUUAACCGGGCGUUAAGUUGCAGGGUAUAGACCCGAAACCCGGUGAUCUAGCCAUGGGCAGGUUGAAGGUUGGGUAACACUAACUGGAGGACCGAACCGACUAAUGUUGAAAAAUUAGCGGAUGACCUGUGGCUGGGGGUGAAAGGCCAAUCAAACCGGGAGAUAGCUGGUUCUCCCCGAAAGCUAUUUAGGUAGCGCCUCGUGAAUUCAUCUCCGGGGGUAGAGCACUGUUUCGGCUAGGGGGCCAUCCCGGCUUACCAACCCGAUGCAAACUGCGAAUACCGGAGAAUGUUAUCACGGGAGACACACGGCGGGUGCUAACGUCCGUCGUGAAGAGGGAAACAACCCAGACCGCCAGCUAAGGUCCCAAAGUCAUGGUUAAGUGGGAAACGAUGUGGGAAGGCCCAGACAGCCAGGAUGUUGGCUUAGAAGCAGCCAUCAUUUAAAGAAAGCGUAAUAGCUCACUGGUCGAGUCGGCCUGCGCGGAAGAUGUAACGGGGCUAAACCAUGCACCGAAGCUGCGGCAGCGACGCUGAUGCGUUGUUGGGUAGGGGAGCGUUCUGUAAGCCUGUGAAGGUGGCCUGUGAGGGUUGCUGGAGGUAUCAGAAGUGCGAAUGCUGACAUAAGUAACGAUAAAGCGGGUGAAAAGCCCGCUCGCCGGAAGACCAAGGGUUCCUGUCCAACGUUAAUCGGGGCAGGGUGAGUCGACCCCUAAGGCGAGGCCGAAAGGCGUAGUCGAUGGGAAACAGGUUAAUAUUCCUGUACUUGGUGUUACUGCGAAGGGGGGACGGAGAAGGCUAUGUUGGCCGGGCGACGGUUGUCCCGGUUUAAGCGUGUAGGCUGGUUUUCCAGGCAAAUCCGGAAAAUCAAGGCUGAGGCGUGAUGACGAGGCACUACGGUGCUGAAGCAACAAAUGCCCUGCUUCCAGGAAAAGCCUCUAAGCAUCAGGUAACAUCAAAUCGUACCCCAAACCGACACAGGUGGUCAGGUAGAGAAUACCAAGGCGCUUGAGAGAACUCGGGUGAAGGAACUAGGCAAAAUGGUGCCGUAACUUCGGGAGAAGGCACGCUGACACGUAGGUGAAGUGAUUUACUCAUGGAGCUGAAGUCAGUCGAAGAUACCAGCUGGCUGCAACUGUUUAUUAAAAACACAGCACUGUGCAAACACGAAAGUGGACGUAUACGGUGUGACGCCUGCCCGGUGCCGGAAGGUUAAUUGAUGGGGUCAGCGCAAGCGAAGCUCCUGAUCGAAGCCCCGGUAAACGGCGGCCGUAACUAUAACGGUCCUAAGGUAGCGAAAUUCCUUGUCGGGUAAGUUCCGACCUGCACGAAUGGCGUAAUGAUGGCCAGGCUGUCUCCACCCGAGACUCAGUGAAAUUGAACUCGCUGUGAAGAUGCAGUGUACCCGCGGCAAGACGGAAAGACCCCGUGAACCUUUACUAUAGCUUGACACUGAACAUUGAGCCUUGAUGUGUAGGAUAGGUGGGAGGCUUUGAAGUGUGGACGCCAGUCUGCAUGGAGCCGACCUUGAAAUACCACCCUUUAAUGUUUGAUGUUCUAACGUGGACCCGUAAUCCGGGUUGCGGACAGUGUCUGGUGGGUAGUUUGACUGGGGCGGUCUCCUCCUAAAGAGUAACGGAGGAGCACGAAGGUUGGCUAAUCCUGGUCGGACAUCAGGAGGUUAGUGCAAUGGCAUAAGCCAGCUUGACUGCGAGCGUGACGGCGCGAGCAGGUGCGAAAGCAGGUCAUAGUGAUCCGGUGGUUCUGAAUGGAAGGGCCAUCGCUCAACGGAUAAAAGGUACUCCGGGGAUAACAGGCUGAUACCGCCCAAGAGUUCAUAUCGACGGCGGUGUUUGGCACCUCGAUGUCGGCUCAUCACAUCCUGGGGCUGAAGUAGGUCCCAAGGGUAUGGCUGUUCGCCAUUUAAAGUGGUACGCGAGCUGGGUUUAGAACGUCGUGAGACAGUUCGGUCCCUAUCUGCCGUGGGCGCUGGAGAACUGAGGGGGGCUGCUCCUAGUACGAGAGGACCGGAGUGGACGCAUCACUGGUGUUCGGGUUGUCAUGCCAAUGGCACUGCCCGGUAGCUAAAUGCGGAAGAGAUAAGUGCUGAAAGCAUCUAAGCACGAAACUUGCCCCGAGAUGAGUUCUCCCUGAGACUUAGAGUCUCCUGAAGGAACGUUGAAGACGACGACGUUGAUAGGCCGGGUGUGUAAGCGCAGCGAUGCGUUGAGCUAACCGGUACUAAUGAACCGUGAGGCUUAACCUUACAACGCCGAAG
Molecule: ribosomal RNA, 2925 nt
Filed under: Salmonella enterica subsp. enterica serovar Djakarta str. S-1087
Lineage: Bacteria; Pseudomonadati; Pseudomonadota; Gammaproteobacteria; Enterobacterales; Enterobacteriaceae
Description: bacterial LSU rRNA
Rfam family: Bacterial large subunit ribosomal RNA
Source: RNAcentral